RNAcentral lists this ribosomal RNA (433 nucleotides) under uncultured bacterium. RNAcentral's name for it is "partial 16S ribosomal RNA". It matches the Rfam family "Bacterial small subunit ribosomal RNA", at positions 29 to 507 of the family's 1533-position model. The record is from RNAcentral.
AACGAACGCUGGCGGCAUGCCUAACACAUGCAAGUCGAACGAGACCUUCGGGUCUAGUGGCGCACGGGUGCGUAACGCGUGGGAACCUUCCUUUAGGUUCGGAAUAACUCAGAGAAAUUUGAGCUAAUACCGGAUGAUGUCUUCGGACCAAAGAUUUAUCGCCUUUAGAUGGGCCCGCGUUGGAUUAGCUAGUUGGUGGGGUAAAGGCCUACCAAGGCGACGAUCCAUAGCUGGUCUGAGAGGAUGAUCAGCCACACUGGGACUGAGACACGGCCCAGACUCCUACGGGAGGCGGCAGUGGGGAAUAUUGGACAAUGGGCGAAAGCCUGAUCCAGCAAUGCCGCGUGAGUGAUGAAGGCAUUAGGGUUGUAAAGCUCUUUUAACCGAGAUGAUAAUGACAGUAUCGGGAGAAUAAGCUCCGGCUAACUCCGUG